Non-coding RNA from Vicia faba (fava bean), 357 nucleotides. Lineage: Eukaryota; Viridiplantae; Streptophyta; Magnoliopsida; Fabales; Fabaceae. The record is from the annotation of a GenBank genome assembly.
AUGGUGAUUAGCAGGCCCCAACGUUACAACCCAACAAGAAUAGUGCACCAGUUUAUUGUGUUUGCAAAGAUAUCAAGCUGCAAAAGACUAACAUACAAGCCUAUGGAGUUGGAACCUAGGCUUCAUCUUUAUACCUUCCUCAACCUUACUUCUGAUCCUCCAUGGAACCAAGAACGAAACACAUAUAGUGUACUCUUAUCCCCUCUUGACAGGAGAAGAGACACGUUUUUCGGCAAAGACUCAAACUCCGUUUACUUCUUCAGUUGUUGUGCUGUGCGAUUUCAUGAUGAUGAUUCAAGAUGUAACAACGUGUUGCUGUUUUGUAAAGAAGAUCGAGAUGCUGAUGCGCUACAGUGA